UGCUUGCACAAUUUCCCUAUCAAUUAAGUA
This 30-nucleotide non-coding RNA is filed under the name Rattus norvegicus (Norway rat). The record is from RNAcentral. Lineage: Eukaryota; Metazoa; Chordata; Mammalia; Rodentia; Muridae.